UACGGGGGGGGCAAGCGUUGUUCGGAAUUACUGGGCGUAAAGAGCGUGUAGGCGGCCCGAUAAGUCCGCUGUGAAAGUCCAGGGCUCAACCCUGGGAUGCCGGUGGAUACUGUCGGGCUCGAGUCCGGAAGAGGCGAGUGGAAUUCCUGGUGUAGCGGUGAAAUGCGCAGAUAUCAGGAGGAACACCAAUGGCGAAGGCAGCUCGCUGGGACGUGACUGACGCUGAGACGCGAAAGCGUGGGGAGCAAACAGG
RNAcentral lists this ribosomal RNA (253 nucleotides) under uncultured bacterium. Its description in RNAcentral is "partial 16S ribosomal RNA". It matches the Rfam family "Bacterial small subunit ribosomal RNA", at positions 524 to 776 of the family's 1533-position model. The record is from RNAcentral.